GAAGGUGUGUCGUGAGGCAUGCUGGAGGUAUCAGAAGUGCGAAUGCUGACAUAAGUAACGAUAAAGCGGGUGAAAAGCCCGCUCGCCGGAAGACCAAGGGUUCCUGUCCAACGUUAAUCGGGGCAGGGUGAGUCGACCCCUAAGGCGAGGCCGAAAGGCGUAGUCGAUGGGAAACGGGUUAAUAUUCCCGUACUUGGUGUUACUGCGAAGGGGGGACGGAGAAGGCUAUGUUGGCCGGGCGACGGUUGUCCCGGUUUAAGCGUGUAGGUGUGUGUUCCAGGUAAAUCCGGUUCACUUUAACACUGAGGCGUGACGACGAGGCACUACGGUGCUGAAGCAACAAAUGCCCUGCUUCCAGGAAAAGCCUCUAAGCAUCAGGUAACAUCAAAUCGUACCCCAAACCGACACAGGUGGUCAGGUAGAGAAUACCAAGGCGCUUGAGAGAACUCGGGUGAAGGAACUAGGCAAAAUGGUGCCGUAACUUCGGGAGAAGGCACGCUGACACGUAGGUGAAGUGAUUUACUCAUGGAGCUGAAGUCAGUCGAAGAUACCAGCUGGCUGCAACUGUUUAUUAAAAACACAGCACUGUGCAAACACGAAAGUGGACGUAUACGGUGUGACGCCUGCCCGGUGCCGGAAGGUUAAUUGAUGGGGUCAGCGCAAGCGAAGCUCCUGAUCGAAGCCCCGGUAAACGGCGGCCGUAACUAUAACGGUCCUAAGGUAGCGAAAUUCCUUGUCGGGUAAGUUCCGACCUGCACGAAUGGCGUAAUGAUGGCCAGGCUGUCUCCACCCGAGACUCAGUGAAAUUGAACUCGCUGUGAAGAUGCAGUGUACCCGCGGCAAGACGGAAAGACCCCGUGAACCUUUACUAUAGCUUGACACUGAACAUUGAGCCUUGAUGUGUAGGAUAGGUGGGAGGCUUUGAAGUGUGGACGCCAGUCUGCAUGGAGCCGACCUUGAAAUACCACCCUUUAAUGUUUGAUGUUCUAACGUGGACCCGUUACCCGGGUUGCGGACAGUGUCUGGUGGGUAGUUUGACUGGGGCGGUCUCCUCCUAAAGAGUAACGGAGGAGCACGAAGGUUGGCUAAUCCUGGUCGGACAUCAGGAGGUUAGUGCAAUGGCAUAAGCCAGCUUGACUGCGAGCGUGACGGCGCGAGCAGGUGCGAAAGCAGGUCAUAGUGAUCCGGUGGUUCUGAAUGGAAGGGCCAUCGCUCAACGGAUAAAAGGUACUCCGGGGAUAACAGGCUGAUACCGCCCAAGAGUUCAUAUCGACGGCGGUGUUUGGCACCUCGAUGUCGGCUCAUCACAUCCUGGGGCUGAAGUAGGUCCCAAGGGUAUGGCUGUUCGCCAUUUAAAGUGGUACGCGAGCUGGGUUUAGAACGUCGUGAGACAGUUCGGUCCCUAUCUGCCGUGGGCGCUGGAGAACUGAGGGGGGCUGCUCCUAGUACGAGAGGACCGGAGUGGACGCAUCACUGGUGUUCGGGUUGUCAUGCCAAUGGCACUGCCCGGUAGCUAAAUGCGGAAGAGAUAAGUGCUGAAAGCAUCUAAGCACGAAACUUGCCCCGAGAUGAGUUCUCCCUGAGACUUAGAGUCUCCUGAAGGAACGUUGAAGACGACGACGUUGAUAG
This 1629-nucleotide ribosomal RNA is filed under the name Salmonella enterica subsp. enterica serovar Enteritidis. RNAcentral's name for it is "partial 23S ribosomal RNA". It matches the Rfam family "Bacterial large subunit ribosomal RNA", at positions 1252 to 2859 of the family's 2925-position model. Lineage: Bacteria; Pseudomonadati; Pseudomonadota; Gammaproteobacteria; Enterobacterales; Enterobacteriaceae. The record is from RNAcentral.